RNAcentral lists this ribosomal RNA (460 nucleotides) under uncultured bacterium. RNAcentral's name for it is "partial 16S ribosomal RNA". It matches the Rfam family "Bacterial small subunit ribosomal RNA", at positions 28 to 507 of the family's 1533-position model. The record is from RNAcentral.
GACGAACGCUGGCGGCGUGCUUAACACAUGCAAGUCGAGCGGUAAGGCCUCUUCUGGGUUACACGAGCGGCGAACGGGUGAGUAACACGUGGGUGACCUGCCCUCAGCUCUGUGAUAAGCCUGGUAAACUGGGUCUAAUACCGGAUAUGACCUUUCCUCGCAUGGGGUUUGGUGGAAAGUUUUUUCGGCUGGUGAUUGGCCGGCGGCCUAGCAGCUUGUUGGUGGGGUGAUGGCCGACCAAGGCGACGACGGGAAGCCCGCCUGAGAGGGCGACCGGCCCCACUGGGACUGAGGCACGGACCAGAGUCCUACGGGGGGCAGCAGUGGGGAACAUUACGCAACGGGCGGAAGCCUGAGGCAGCGACGCCGGGUGGGGGAUGACGGCCUUCGGGUUGUAAACCUCUUUCGACCCCGACGAAUUUGGCCGGUAGGGGUAGAAGAAGCACCGGCUAACUACGUG